ACCACUAAAAAUAUAGGACUCUCGGUUUCACCGAAUUCCAACAUAGACUGAGGUCAAUUGAACAAGUCAACAUACGAAGUAUAACACGAAGCUUAAUUUACUUUAUUAAAGGUGCUUCUGACAAAACCCAGUAUGAGGCACUCCAGGGCCUUAACGGAGACACAUUUUCUGAAGAAAAGUGGCCAACUGCCUCGAAGGAGAAGACAGAAUGCUGAUGGAAGAAAGGAUAGAGCAGAACGGGCCAAAGGCGGGUACUCAGCUAGGAACAAGAACCAACAACCAACUGGCUUCCCCUGGGAGCCUGCCCAGGAAGCUUCCAUUGGGCAAGAGGAGUGAAAAGAAGUCCAUGCAGUCCUUUCAGGAGAAAACCUAUGGCAGGGAGCAUCAGAGUGUGGCUGUAACACAUCACAUCAAGCAGAUAUCUGACCAUUUUCAUGCAAAACGAAAUCCGUACGUACUCUGGGGGAUGUCCUCAGCCCGGUAGAUCUUCAGCAUGAAGGUCACCCACCGGAGAGCAAUGCCAGCUGGGAGAAGCAGGUUACUUUCCACAUCGUCACUGUCAUUAUCACGGUCCCGUUUCUCAGGCUUUUGGAGACAUGUGAUUAAAAUUGUACACAUGCAAAGGAGCACUUAAAAAAAAUCCAAGCGACACUUGCAAAAUGAAGCAACUGAAACUGUUCCACUGGGAUUUUCUGUGUUUGGGGCUUAAGGAUUUCCUUCAACCUCAAAACUGUUCUACAGAGUGACUGCUCGUAUGUUUCUAUGUCCUUGUGUAGUCAUGAAUAUUAAAUGGUCAGGGGAACGGGAACAGAGAGGCCGAGACAAAAACAGAGUCAGAGAGAAAACACAUGUGGAUGUGCUUUUAACUUCUCUCUGGUCCCUUUCCCAGUGUACUGCCCAAAUUCCCACAAUAAUCACAAACCCUUUAAGUAAUGGUACCGAAUUCUGAAAGGAAGUCAUGCUCUGGCAGAUAGAAUCAGUCUUUCUAAUAAUGCAAGAAAUCAUGAAAACACACAUGUUCUCUGAGUUGCUCACUCGUGGACAUCAGGGUGCAGGUGAGUCAGGGUGAUGACCUACGAUGGUGGAAAGGUACCUUUUUGAGAAUCGGAGGAAGUGGAGGCUGAGGGUGGCUGACUGGAUGAAAGCUACGCUCCCUUCCACAACUAUUGGUGCCAAGUUGCUUAAGCCCUAAUCCUUUUUUUUGUGUGUGUGUGAAAAGAAUAAGUUCAGAAUCCAGGGACUCACAGGAGGCUCAUCUCCAGUUCCCAGGACAAACAUGCUGACUUUCAUGUAACCUUUAGCACCGGAGCUAGCAUCUUCCGGGUCAUUGAGAAGAAGCCACUUUCUCAUGACAGCAUGACCUAAAACAAAGAAAGCAACAGGACAGAGACACUCUACGGCUGUGCUGGUGGGGCUGCGAUUUCCUCUGUCCUAAGCAGAUGUCUCUGGCAGCUUCAUACUGGCAGCCCAGAUUCCCCAGAGAAGUCCUUGUGUUAGCCUCCUCUGUUCUCAUCCUCCUUCUCUCUCCAUCCCUCCCAGGGUGACUUAAACAAAAGGCUCUAAUCUUUACUAAUUGACUUCAUAAUCUCUUCUUGAUAAGGUAGAAAUUAUUGUCAUAAAACACAGAAAUUACUUAUUUAUAAAUGUCAAAUGGACAUUCACACUAAGCUACUGUUACUCAUUUUAACCAAAUACUCUCCCCCAACAAGAAAAAAGCUUUUUAUCCUUUGACUUUGACUCCUUGACCUCCUGAAGGAUUCUUAGAAUCAGGAUAAGAGGAAUGAACUCCAGACUUCAAAUUGAUGGGGGUGAACAUUACUCACCAGGCUCAUCAUAAACAAAUCCAACAUCAAUCUGGAAAAACAAUUUACAGUAGGUUCAGUAGGUUUUUAAGUCAGUCCCAUCACUUCAAUGAAAGCAUCAUCAUUACAUUUAAACACAGUGCUCCUGGCUAGACUUAAAUCUCUUCAAUUAAAUAGGAAUUUCCAUCUUAUUCUUUCUGUGCCUUCCCUGAUGCAUGAGGUAUAGACAGCUCCCAGUCAAUCACUGCUGACGAAUGAUUUAGUCUUAAAGCUAGAGGGGCUGGAGAUUUAGCUCAGCGGCAUAAGCGCCUGCCUUGCAAUCAGGCAGUCGUGAGUUCGAUCCCCGGUACCGAUAAAAACGAAAAAGACAAAAAAAAAAAAAGCUAGAACAGACCAUGAAAGUAGAGGUGACCAACUUGUCUCAGUUUCUUGACUCUCUCCCAGUUCUGGCACUAAAGUCCAAAGCCAACUGUGACCAUUAACCACCCUCAAAUUCAUCUAGCUCAGCUUCCUACCCAACAAUCCUCCUCCUCCAAUCACUACUAAUGCUAAUAUUACUGUCACCAUCAAUCAGGCACCUUCAUGUGCCAGGUGCUGGGCUGGAUGUUUACACACACAGGUCUACGUGACCGGGAUCAUCCUUCAGGACUUUCACUGACUGAAGUUUCUUCCUUCAAGAAGCAGCUGCCCAUUCCCUGGAGAGCUGCUGAGCAGCCAACCAAGUCUAUCUGUCUGUUACUUCCAGUGUAAGUUUCUUAGAAAACCAGACUGACUGCUUUACCUCCUCGGCUUUCCUUUCACGUUCCAAAUUUACAGCAAUUGGUUUUAUGGGAGGAGCUCUGGGGCCGUGGUUAAAUGCAGCUGAGUGAUGGUUUCUCACCAAUGAGGCACCCCUGCCCUUUGAAGGAAUAAGCGGGCUUCUAUCCAUGGGGCAGGCUAGCAGCAGCUGGAGGGCACCUUGCUUUGAGGGACUGUUAGUGUGAUAUUUUGGAAGAAGACAGGAACCAGAUAGCCCUCUGCAAAGACCACAUGACCCUAAGAUGUCACCAAGACAAGCGCUCCUAGACUGCGCAUGAAUCAAUUUCUCUAUUAUGAGAGUUCUGAUUUUUAUGUCAAUUGAAGGAAGCAGAUUGUUGUCACCUACCUUAAACUCCCCCAUUAGACAGUCUGCUCUCAAAGAAUGGGAAUUGUAAACCUGAGAGAGAGAAGAAUGGUGAAGGCCAGCCACCUUGGCGGGGGGGGGGAGCCCUCCCCUCCUACCCCCCCCCGUACCCGGAUGCUGAUGAUCUCAUCCAUCAGUUCAGAAGGGGUCAUGUGAACGUUGUAGAAAAACAGCUGUAAGACAGUGAAGAACACGUUUAAACAUUAGCAGGGCUUCCGGGCUAGUGGGAAUCUGUGUUAGAGUUGUGAAUUUUAUGAUUUAGAAUUAAGCAUAGAAAUGUUUUUGAAUCAUAUAUUUAUAAUACAUACACUCCACAACAGAUAAAUUCUUAAAUUCCAAAAAUAAAUAAAUAAAUAAAAUGAACUA
Cavia porcellus (domestic guinea pig) is the source of this 3330-nucleotide long non-coding RNA. RefSeq lists it as uncharacterized. The transcript has 2 exons. Lineage: Eukaryota; Metazoa; Chordata; Mammalia; Rodentia; Caviidae. The record is from RefSeq and is a predicted model, not a curated record.